UUAUUUCUGUAAAAGGCUUAGACUUAAGGGAUCGAUAAAAUAUAAAACGUCAAGUCUAGAAGGGUAUCCCCAUAAACCUUAAACCAGCUCAAGAACUGGCGAAGCAGAUGAAGAACACACCUCAAAAUGGUUUCCAUUGGUCAUUUCACCGAGUUUAGCUUCCAAGAUGCAUUUAUGUAUCCUCAUAAGCCCAGAGUCAUGGCAGUUGGUUGGAUGACUACUGCAGGGGCGGUGCCAGUGACAGAGGACGGAAUCAUCAUCUUCUCUGAGAUAUAAUUGUUGCCGAUCAAUGAGUAGACCGUGCUAGUACCCCAAUGACCAUGUCGGCUGUAGAUCGCAAGCAGAUGAAUCUAGUGAUGAUAAGGAAAACAAAGGAGCGCAAGGAGUAAGUUUAAAUUAAAAUUCACUUGAUCAAACCCUUGUGGUGGCGGAUUUCGGGAUGCAUGAAUGUAAACUUGUUCCAGUUUGGCAAUUGGGAUCAAAUUGAAGUUCUGAUUCACCAAGCAUAAACCUUCAAAAGGGCUGCUGGAAUUUGUGAGAUCCUAAAAUUGAAACCGGAUGAGAAUGUUUCUGCGGCUUGUCUAUUUUCUUGAUGCUGGAACGCAGUUUUAAUUUUCAUUCUGUUCUUCUAGGAAAAUGGAGACUCACAGCCUCCAGGACAUGGUAAGUUGUUUCUAGUUUCUAUUUUUGUCUCGUUUUUUCACUUAUAAAUUUAAAGUUGAUCAGUCAAAAAUAUCCAUUUCAGAACAAACUAGUUCUGGUCUUUUGGAAACUUAGUUUUUGUUUUUAUCUAAUAUAAGUUGCAUCUGUUAAUUAAUCACUAAAACUAACUGCCUUAAGCAGUAUUUAGGGAACUGAAAUUAAUUCAAUUUAUAGUUGAAAUAUUUCGUUGUGAAGAGCAAAGGCGUAGGCUGCGAAGGUUUAUUACUAAUCGUUUUAUCGUCUGUGUUCGUUUACCUGUGCAGUCAGGAAGUAAAUUUCCUUUGAAGACUUUCCAAUCUCACAAUUCACAAAUUCAAUUCAUCCAGUAUAAGGUUUAUGCUUGUACUUGAGCUCAGAAAUUCCGAUUAGAUCCGAACUGCCUAUAUGGAGAAGUUUUUAUAUGGAUAAAGUUUGUACCGUCAUCUCCAAAUCCACCACCCAAGGGUUUGAUCAGGUAAAUUUCAAUGCAAAUUUAUUUCUUGCUUUGCCUUCUUUUCCUUAUCACCACAGAAUCAUCUGCAUAUGAUCUAGUAUCGAAUGGCCAUUGAGAUAUCAGCAGCAACAAUUUCUCAGACCUGGCGAUUCUAUGUUUGCCACUAGCACUGCCCCACUACGGUCUUCCUACUAGCUGCUGUUAUCAGAGGCUUAUGAGGGAUUCAUCAGUGUUUCUAGGACAGCUUGAACUCGGUGAAUUGACCAACAGGAAUUAUUUU
This 1415-nucleotide long non-coding RNA is filed under the name Olea europaea (common olive). RNAcentral describes it as "long non-coding RNA (OEUR_LNC003614)". The record is from RNAcentral. Lineage: Eukaryota; Viridiplantae; Streptophyta; Magnoliopsida; Lamiales; Oleaceae.